UACAGAGGGUGCAAGCGUUAAUCGGAAUUACUGGGCGUAAAGCGCACGCAGGCGGUCAUGUAAGUCGGGUGUGAAAUCCCCGGGCUCAACCUGGGAACUGCAUUCGAGACUGCAUGGCUAGAGUACGGUAGAGGAGGGCGGAAUUCCCGGUGUAGCGGUGAAAUGCGUAGAUAUCGGGAGGAACAUCAGUGGCGAAGGCGGCCCCCUUGACCAGUACUGACGCUCAGGUGCGAAAGCGUGGGGAGCAAACAGG
Molecule: ribosomal RNA, 253 nt
Filed under: uncultured bacterium
Lineage: Bacteria
Description: partial 16S ribosomal RNA
Rfam family: Bacterial small subunit ribosomal RNA
Source: RNAcentral